Rhincodon typus (whale shark) is the source of this 5361-nucleotide long non-coding RNA. RefSeq lists it as uncharacterized. NCBI's taxonomy places the organism in Eukaryota, Metazoa, Chordata, Chondrichthyes, Orectolobiformes, Rhincodontidae. The record is from RefSeq and is a predicted model, not a curated record. The transcript is spliced from 3 exons.
GCAGAUCAUAAGGUCAAAGUUGUCAUGCUCACUGGGGACAAGUUCCAUGCUACAUUGCAUGCCUGGCUCUGAAAUGGCGACUAGAGCACAGACAUUGGCAAACAGGAAAUCACAAAGUCUGUCCGUUUGGAGACCUUGAUCUUUGCCUGGAGUCAGAUUGAGCAGCUUCCUAUCCAGGCAUUAUGUGAAUUCAACGUCGGAAUUGCCAUGGUGGAAGGCAUUGGAGAGCAUGGUGGAGAAAAACAUGCUGAAGUGAGAUGACUUCAGCACAAAGCUCUGUUUAAUUCAAUUAGUGACUGGGACUGGAUCAGAAGAUUGACCUCAGCCACGAGGUGUGGGCAGCCCUCAUGAAACUGUCAAACCGUUGUGAUGGAUUUCUCAGGGCAGCUGGAUUCCUCCAAGACCCUCUAAAGGAUUGAACAGCUGACUGUGUCAAAGACCUUAGAUCAUCAAGCCUGGUGAAGAGACACCACGUUCUGUUCUGGGCAUUUCUCCUGGAGAUGUCUCACUGUCAACACAAUAAGGGCGGCUCUUUCACCUGCACUGACUCUCGAGCAGCAGAUCCUGAUCAAUAAGCAGUUCAGAAGGACCCUGGUGAAGAUUUUGCUGGUGAGGGAGAGUAUUGUGAUUCUUGUAUGAGUUUUGCAAGAUGUGGAGCAACGAUUGUAGCCCCUCGUGUUAGAUACAGUGACAAUAUAAUGGGAAUUACAUCUAACAUAUUCAAGGAUGAAGCCGCUAGCACUUGAUUUGCAUUGAAAAGAUGUUUGGUUUCUUAAUUGUGAAUCCCAAACCACUGCCGUAAUUUAUGAAAAUGACAUAAUGGAUCAGGCUCGACUUUCUGAGGAAUGACAAUCUCACGCAGGUUACAUUCUCCUUUUUUCAUGAAACGGAAGAGCUCUACAUUUCUGACAGAUGAUUCUGAUCAGGGCUUCUUCAGAAAUGCACAGCUGUAUUUCCAUUCUGACUAUGCACUAGCGUCAUGCUGCUGUGUGGACCUCUGAAGCCUGUGUCUGGCUGGAGAAACCGGAAGUGAAUGCGUUGGCAUGGCAUUGGCAUGCAGAUCGGCAGGCAUGAACCUUUGGAGCUGCCGCACAGCUUGGACAGAACUCUGAGGAUCAAAGGUGCAUCUGUAAGAGAAGAUACUGUUUGAUGCAUGUGAACGUUCCCCUGACAUUAUUUCAAAGGAGAACAGGGGUGCCCUGGCCAAUAAUAAUCCCUCAAACAACAUUGCAAGAAUGGAUUACCCAGUCAGUAUCAUAUUGCUGCUUGCGUGGUGAGAACAUUGGCAGCCAUGUUUCCUACAUUGCAAAUGGCCUCAUGGAUUCUGAGGCCUAACUGUUGCUGCUUCUUCUGUCAAGAUACUGCCAUAUCUGAUGAAUUUUUCCAGUGUUUUCUGUGUUUGUUCCAUAAAUCCACUGUCUGGAACCACGUGACAUCCAUCAGCCAACACACCUAGGGCCCCUCUCUACCAGCUGCCCUCCAAUUUUCCCAGUAGAAGGGACGUCUGUAGCUUUUCAGCUCUGACCAAACAUUGACAAUUUUCUUUUUUGGAUGUCACUUUUUAAAGUUCUUCUCACCGUCGUAAAUUGAAACAUAUCUUCAUUUGAUUUAUGGAAUUUUAAACUUAUGCUUAGCAACCAUUCCAAACAGCUCUGUUCUCUUGCACAGAUCUUUACUUCUUGCCCAUGUUUCAUCUGAGGCCAUGAAGGAUGCUAUAUAAAUGCAAGUCUUCCUUUUUUCAUGUAUAAGUAAUUGUUUUUCAUUUCUAAUGUCCCAAAAAGUAGAAGUCUAUAGUUCCUGUGCUUACUGUUUCCUUAAUUUCUGAAGAUGUGUAAAACCAAUGAUUCAGUCUCAGAGCUUUUUCCACCCUCUCAUUCCUUCUGGGAAAAACCAGGCCAAUUUGAAAUUCCCUGCCCACAUCAAUAUUGAGUUAAUUAAUUGAAUGGGACAUCAAUCGAGCUUGACUGUGAAGAGGGAGCACUACAUUAAGCAAAUGAAGAUAAUUGGCACAAGAAAAAGAGGAGAUAUGAAAAGAAUUGUUUGGUAAAGCAAAUUGGUAUGAUCUAGAAUGUGCUGCUUAUAAAGGUGUUGGAAGCAGAUUUCAUAAGAACUUCCAAAUGGGAAUUGGAUAAAUAUGUGGAAGAAAAUAGUGGGCAAUGGGGAAAGAGCAAGGGCAAUGGAAGUUCAAUUACCCAAGCACAAUGGGUUGAGUAACCCUCUUCUGUGCUGUAUCAGUUUGUGAUUCCACACAUCAGGAAACUAAUCUAUAUUCUGUGCUUUUUAGGAGUGCAUCUUAAAGAAAAGAAACAGAUUUCAUGAUUAUUUGGCUGCACGUUCUGCAAGAUAAUCAGCACUAAUACAGGCUUAUGAACUCAGUCCCCAGUUAUAUGGGGGACAUGGAGACACUUUAUUGUGUGUUGUACAAUCUGGUUGAAAAAGACAACUGAAAUGUCACCUAGAGACACAGAAAUGUCACAGUGCAUUAUUUUUGUAAAGCCCAAUUCUCUGUAACCGUGGUGCAAGGGCUGUUGUUUCUGAGACAGUCAAUCACAUUGAUAUUAAUUGCCACUUAGCACUGUCACAAUCAAUGAAACGUAAUUUGUUUUCUCUCAGGAAUUAAUUCAAUGUUUUUUAUCACCUCCGCGCUCUCUAACAAAGACCGUCACUGUAUUUUGACAUUAGUUCUGACCUUUCCAAUCAACCUUGCUUUACGGGAGUGCAUUCCAAGUGCUGUUCCAGAACCCAAACAACACAAACCAAUUUUAUUACCAAGUGGCGUGUCCUAUUUAAGAAGCACAAAAUGCAGGAGAUUUUGCCACAGUGACCAGAUUAAUCCAAAGCUCUCAUAAAUGGCUAUUCCACUUCCUAAAGCAAAGCAUUGAAAGUGGAAUAUUGUCAAAAAGUCAAAGUUAAGGGCACACUAUCUGAAUGCAUGCAGCUUUCACAACAAGGUGGAUGAUCUAAGGGCACAAAUAGAAAGACAUGAGUAUGAUCUAAUCGUCAUUACAGAGAAAAGUAGCUGCAUGGUGACCAGGGCUGGGAAGUGAAUAUUCAAGGAUAUUCAACAUUUAAGAAUGAUAAACAAGAAGAAAAAGGAGGUGGAUUUGCACAGAUAAUAAAGCAUACGAUCAGUAAAUUAGUAAAGGAUGGUCUCAGAUUGGAAGAACAAGGUGUGGAAUCUGUUUGCGUAGAGCUAAGAAACAGCGCAGGGCAGCGGACACUGUUUGGAGUUAUUUGUAGGCCAUCACAAAAGUGGUGGCAUGGGACAUGAUAUUAAUCAGGAGAUGAAAGAAGCAUGUAACAUUGACAAUAGUUAUCAUGGGUGGUUUUAAUCAGCAUGUAGACUGGGUAAACCAACUGAGUAAACCAACUGAGCACCAAAGCUGUGGAGGAUGAGUUUCUGGAGUAUGUCAGGGAUGGUUUUCUAGAGCAGAGUGUUGAGGAGUCAAUUAGAGGGCAUACAAUUUUAGAUGUACCAUUAUGUAAUGAAAAGGGCUAAUUAAUAAUCUUAUUGUGAAAAAACCUUUAGGGAUGAGUGACCACAAGAUAAUUGAACCUCACAUUAUAUUUAAAAGGAAGGUUGCUCAUUCUGAAGCAAGAUGUUAAAUUUUGAUACAAUUAAUUAUGAAAGGUGGGAGGCAUGAAUUGGCUGAGCUGGACUGGAAAAUUACAUUAAAAAACAUGAUUGUACAUAUGCAAUGAAUAGUUGUUAAAGACAGCAUGGUGGCUCAGUGGUUAGUACUGCUGCCUCAUAGCGCCAGGGACCCGGGUUCAAUUCCAGCCUUGGGCAAUUGUCUCUGUGAAGUUUGCAUGGGUUUCUGCGUGUCUGCGUGGGUUUCCUCCGGGUGCUCCGGUUUUGUCUCAUGGUCCAAAGAUGUGCAAGACACAUGGAUUGACCAUGCUAAAUUGCCCGUAGUGCACAGGGAUGUUUAGGUUAGGUGGGUUAGACAUGGAACAAACAGGGAUAGGAGAAUGGGUCUGGGUGGGAUGCUCUUCGGAGGGGUGGUGUGAACUUGUUGGGCCAAAUGGCCUGUUUCCACUCUGUCGGGAUUCUAUGCUCAAUUACACAACUCAGAGCUUCUAUACAUUCAUCAAGGUGCAAAAACUCAAAAAUGGUCAGUCAACUGCUAAUAAAGGAAGUUUAAGGCUGUAUAAGAUAACAAGAAAAGGCCUAUAAAAUUGUCAGAAAUAGCAGCAAUUCUGAAGAUUUUAAGUUUUAUAAAAUAUAACAAAAGAGGACUAAGAAACUGAUAAGGCAAGGCAAAAUGUAAUAUAAAUGCAAUCCAGGCAGAAACAUAAAACCAGUGUGUUAAAGCUUCUACAGAUUUGUAAAAAGGAAAUGUUUGGCUAAAACGAUUGUGGGUUCAUUAGAGGCAGAGUCAGGGGAAUUCACUGUGGGGAAUACAGAAAGGACAAAUGGUUAUAUGACCCCAUGACUCUAAAUGAGUAUGUUGUGGUUGUUUUCAUUGCAAAAUAUGAAGAAAUUUUCAGAACAAGUUGCAGUGAUUGUAACGAGGACAGCCGGAUGGACUUCAUAGAAUAUGUGUUCCCGGAUUCAGGCUGUUAACCUGGUUGACAGAUAAGAACAGGAAAGGCGGAGAUUCUGUCACUCUGAGAACUGGUUCUGAUGGAACUGGAUCACUGUCAAGGACUCUCCAUGUGCAAAUAAAGUGUGACUUGGUGAUGGGAUAUUGGCCUCUGUGGAGUUAUUUUGCUAGUGAUUGAAGUGGCGAGGGAGAAAGAAGAAUCGAAGGAAAUUAGCAGUACCCACUGCCAUCCAGUUAGAGCUGCCGAUCAAUGAGGAAUUGCCUGCCACUGGUUGCUCUUAGUGGGAGGGAUUCCUUAGCCCAGGAUCCUUGAUGGCAAAUUGCUGCCUGAUUAGCUCUUAAUUCAAGGGCCUUUGGGAGAGGAAAAUAUCAAAAAACUUGGCUGAAAAGAUUUAAGGAACAUCUUAGAGGAGGAAAGCGAGACAGAGGUAUAGGGAGGGAAUUCCAGAGAUUAGGACCCAGGCAGCUGACAGCAUGGCUAACCCAACACAUCUCCAGCUGGUGGGCAAGAACUCCCAUCACAUCUGUUAAAUAUCGCCCACCAAGAUUAGACUUGCACUGCUGGAGUCUCCAGGGAAAUAUUUGAGCUUUGCGAUUUUAAGGUGCUGGAAGCCUCCCAACAUUUCUGGAACUGCAUCCCAGCAAGGGAUAUGUUUGGGAUAGAAAUGCAAUCUGUGCCAAAGUGUCUCUUGAUUCGCAGUACUCAUGUGACCUCAACCAUGACAUUGAUCGGGAGCUGCCAACUUGCAACCAGUUUCAUAAAGUCAUAUACAGGCUGGACAGUUGCUUGGAAAGCUCAUAACAUGGAGCUGAG